RNAcentral lists this ribosomal RNA (468 nucleotides) under uncultured bacterium. Its description in RNAcentral is "partial 16S ribosomal RNA". It matches the Rfam family "Bacterial small subunit ribosomal RNA", at positions 28 to 507 of the family's 1533-position model. The record is from RNAcentral.
GACGAACGCUGGCGGCGUGCUUAACACAUGCAAGUCGAACGGAAAGGCCCUGCUUUUUUGGUGUUCUCGAUUUGCGAACGGGUGAGUAACACGUUAGUAACCUUCCCUUUACUUUGGUAUAACUUCAGGAAACUUGUUCUAAUACCUUAUAGGAUCUCCUGCUGCAUGUUGGUGUUUGGAAAUUUUCGGCGGUUGGGGAUUGACUCGCUGCUUAUCAUCUUGUUUGUGGGGUAGUGGCUUACCAAGGCUUUGACGGGUAGCCGGCCUGAGAGGGUGACCGGCAAAAUUGGGACUGAGAUACGGACCAGAAGCCAACGGGAGGAAGCAGGGGGGAAUAGUGAACAAUGGGAGGAAGCAUGAGGAAGAAAAGCAGCGUGCGGGAUGAAGGCCUUCGGGGUGUAAACAGAUUUAGAAUGUGACGAAGAGUGAGUGACGGUAAUGGGUAAAGAAGCAACGGCUAAAUACGUG